Molecule: long non-coding RNA, 1080 nt
Organism: Solea senegalensis (Senegalese sole)
Lineage: Eukaryota; Metazoa; Chordata; Actinopteri; Pleuronectiformes; Soleidae
Exons: 2
Source: RefSeq, a predicted model, not a curated record
UUGUAGAUGCAGGGGAGUGGGCAGGGAAGGGGUAGUUCUAGUGAACUGAACUUCUGCGUCGGUGUAGGCUACACUGUAUUCUUAGAGAGGCACCUAACUUUAGUCAUGCUGUGUGACUUAUUUCAGGAGGUGGGAAAAACUAUUUGGAUUUUUUUUCAUAGAUAAAUUACAAUUUCCUGCAAGUGGAGUAGAAAUAUUCUCGCUUUAAAAAAAUAUUACAGAAGAAAACUUGGCACUGAUUGUGCGUCCCUCUUUCUGAGGCCGUCGGUGAAACGUUUGACAUCUAAAAGCAGGUAAGCCACUGACUAACGCACAUUGUGCCAGUUGCCAGUUCCACUGUGCGUGUGACAGCGGCUAACCUGGUUUUGGGAGAGCCACUCGUCCGUUUCCCACCGCCAGACAGUGUCUACGAGCAGGGAAGAGACCAUGUGGGCAAUGUGCACUCAACAUGAGCUGUGUGCUCCCUGUGCACUAUACUGUCACAUACUGUACUUAUUGUAUAUACUGUAUCUCUGCCUGUAGUAACCAGCAGAUCAUCGUCUACUCUGGCGCGUAUAUGUUUUACUGCCACCUACUGUCAAGAUUAAGGGUAAUGUUGUGUGAAGUUUCUGUUUCAUUUGUGGCUUUGAACAAUGUAACCAAACAAGGACAAGAUGUGAAAAGAGCUAAAAUGUGCAUAAUAUGACCUUUCUGUAUUUUGAUGAUAUUAUAUUUGAUGAAUAAAUUCCAACAUCCUUUUAUGUAGGUGUUUUGUUAUAAUUAAAAAGUAAAAAGUAAAAUGAUGAGGAAAAAACCACCAACACUCAUACAACUGGUUUAGACCAGAUGUAUGUUCUCAUGAAGACUGGUUUCCAGUUUAAGGUCAGGCGUCUGCGGGUGUUCUUGAAGUGAUUCCAGGGUGCCAUUCAGCAAAAGGUUUACUAUCUAUAGACGGUGAAGACUCAACUUUGUUCAAGAUGGAUCUAGAAAACAAAAUGAUCAUUUUGGGGUGGUUUUCCAAUCGUUAAAUGAGCCGUGCCAAACAUUGUUGUCGCUCGUAGUGUCCGUGGGGCGUGUGAAUAAAAGUUUCUACUGAAAUAA